AUUGAACGCUGGCGGCAGGCUUAACACAUGCAAGUCGAGCGGGGUGAUGGUGCUUGCACUAUCACUUAGCGGCGGACGGGUGAGUAAUGCUUAGGAAUCUGCCUAUUAGUGGGGGACAACAUCUCUAAAGGGAUGCUAAUACCGCAUACGUCCUACGGGAGAAAGCAGGGGAUCACUUGUGACCUUGCGCUAAAAGAUGAGCCUAAGUCGGAUUAGCUAGUUGGUGGGGUAAAGGCCUACCAAGGCGACGAUCUGUAGCGGGUCUGAGAGGAUGAUCCGCCACACUGGGACUGAGACACGGCCCAGACUCCUACGGGAGGCAGCAGUGGGGAAUAUUGGACAAUGGGGGGAACCCUGAUCCAGCCAUGCCGCGUGUGUGAAGAAGGCCUUAUGGUUGUAAAGCACUUUAAGCGAGGAGGAGGCUCUUUUGGUUAAUACCCAAGAUGAGUGGACGUUACUCGCAGAAUAAGCACCGGCUAACUCUGUGCCAGCCGCCGCGGUAA
This 503-nucleotide ribosomal RNA is filed under the name uncultured bacterium. RNAcentral describes it as "partial 16S ribosomal RNA". It matches the Rfam family "Bacterial small subunit ribosomal RNA", at positions 30 to 523 of the family's 1533-position model. The record is from RNAcentral.